This 253-nucleotide ribosomal RNA is filed under the name uncultured bacterium. RNAcentral's name for it is "partial 16S ribosomal RNA". It matches the Rfam family "Bacterial small subunit ribosomal RNA", at positions 524 to 776 of the family's 1533-position model. The record is from RNAcentral.
UACAGAGGGUGCGAGCGUUACUCGGAAUUACUGGGCGUAAAGGGUGCGUAGGUGGCCUUUUAAGUCGUUUGUGAAAUACUCGGGCUUAACCUGGGUGCUGCGAACGAGACUGGAAGGCUAGAGUAGAGUAGAGGAGAGUGGAAUUUCCGGUGUAGCGGUGAAAUGCGUAGAUAUCGGAAGGAACACCGGUGGCGAAGGCGGCUCUCUGGACCGUAACUGACGCUGAGGCGCGAAAGCGUGGGGAGCAAACAGG